GCCUUCGUGGUGUAGUGGUCAGCACGCUCAGCGCGUAUUCGGAAAGUCUGUGGUUCAAGUCCCGGUGAAGGCG
This 73-nucleotide transfer RNA is filed under the name Stegodyphus mimosarum. It matches the Rfam family "tRNA". Rfam says of the family: Transfer RNA (tRNA) molecules are approximately 80 nucleotides in length. Their secondary structure includes four short double-helical elements and three loops (D, anti-codon, and T loops). The record is from Rfam by way of RNAcentral. Lineage: Eukaryota; Metazoa; Arthropoda; Arachnida; Araneae; Eresidae.